Molecule: long non-coding RNA, 3937 nt
Organism: Siniperca chuatsi (mandarin fish)
Lineage: Eukaryota; Metazoa; Chordata; Actinopteri; Centrarchiformes; Sinipercidae
Exons: 5
Source: RefSeq, a predicted model, not a curated record
CUUCCCGACCAGCCCGCCUACCAACAGAAAUAUUGCUCAGAUUUUUCUUCUAAAACAGUUUUUUUCUUUUCCCUCACUUUGACAGACACCUCGGGCAGCCAAAGAGCGCAGAGCUGGGGGAGUGUGGAGAAGGAGAGCGGCGCUGGUCCCGCAGCUGGGGGAAGGAUGGCGCCAGAGCGCACACAGCCGGCUGAAGUAUGUCUUCAUGACUCUAGCGGCUCUCACAAAUCAAUCAAGAUUUCCACAACGCCUGGAACUUUAAAAUGAGGAUGAAUCUACGGGUAUCUAAAUGAGGGGUGAGGCAGUGACGGCAGGAGCGCACAGUAUGACAAACAAUGUUAAGGUGUGCAGCCGGUCUAACGGUGAAAUGAAGGGUUCGUGUGUGCUGUAGAGUUUCUUGGACGGAGAGCAGAGGAGAGUCUGCCGGGCAACAGCGGAGAAGAAAAACGGCAUCAAGCAGCACACCGGUGUCACGUCUCAUUUUGGAACGAUGCUCUUCAAAUACUUCAUCACCGGCCCUCUCAGUUUCACUGCAGACGCUGGCUGACCUCAUUGAGUGACCUCACCAAUCACAGAUCAAAGUUGUCGGGUUUCUGGCCGGUCAGGUUAAUCAGAGGACCACCCUGAAGAACCAAUCAGGUAAUUGAAUAAAUUCCCAGAGCUCUGCUGGAAUUAGAAGAAGCUGGACUUUGGUCAGAAGAGAGCUUUUAAGAAACCAGGGAACGUACAUCAGGGGCCCAGCAGUCGAUGGGACAAGACUUUGUGAGGCGACUGCCUUUCACGCCGGGGGCCGAUCAGGAACAGAUGGAAGGGGUGAUGACCCCCCCCUGGCAGGCGAGAGCAGCGGCGCAACUGCCACUCAAAAUCCCAGUAUAUGGAGGUGUGUGAGUGUAGAUUUGUGUGUCGGAGGACGAUGGGGGGUUGUGUUAUGGCUCUGAGGGUGCUACAGCAAACAGGGUCCCCAUAAUACGAGUGACUGACACUCCUCCAACAUCUGUUCCACGGAAAACUCUCUCUCUUUCUCACCGUCACUUCUCCACUAACAAUCUCCCUGACUCGGUCUCUGUUGUCUCCCUCUCUGUCUCUUCCCCACACACACACAAGAGUUAGAUGUCUUUUCAUUUUACAGUAAAGCUGAAAGGAAUGGAGAAAUUACAUUAGGGCAGAAUAAGAUACUCCAUUUAUGAUGUGGCUCUUUGCAGGGUUCUCUGCAUGGUUGACAGAGGAGGCUGCAGACAGCACUGAUGCCUUUACCCUUCUCUUCUCCUUCCUCCCUCGCUGUGUCGCCCUCUCCCACCCCCACUCCUCGCUCAACGAUCAGGUUUCUCUCUGUCCAUCAGUGGAGAGGGAGAGGAGAAGAAGGGGUGGAGGUGGGUUGUUCUGAUCAAUGGCAGGAAACUAGACGAUGGGAAGAGAAGACGUGAAACAGAUAGGCCCCACAACCUACCUACCAGGAUACCGCAAUCACCUCCCUCUCUCUCUCUCUCUGUCUCUUCUAUUUGCGUUCCUAUUUGUAAUUCCAACACACGCACACACACACACACACACACACACACACACAAAGUCAGCUCUGUUGAAACACAGUCCAGACACCACACAUACAAACACGCAUCUGACCGCAAACAAGCUGGAAAAAACACACAGGAGCAUCUAGCUUCAGACUCUGAUAUGCCAACACACACACACACACACACACACACACACACACACACAACACUGCAGAUUGCACAAAGCAUGUAUAGCUUUCCCUUUAGGCGGAAUGCAAACACAUUUACCUGCUCCUUAUGGGAGAAUGACUAAUAAUAUACAAAAUUAGGGUAUAUUUUUCUCCCAGCUCUAUGCAAAUCUCAAACAUAUUGCUUUCUGUCUCCAGGGGACCACACAUUCCCACACAUGAAUAUACUUAGAGGCGCAUGUGAGAGGCACACAAACACAUACACACACCUCAUCCAAGAUAUGUGUAAUUAGGGCAGACAGAGAGAAUAGCUGUCUCAUUUAAGUUUAUUAAUUUGUGGUAUUUUUAUUACCGGCAUUUAUUACCGGCAUUUUAUGGUGGACAACACCACUGCUCAUUCCUCAAGGCACUUAUUAGCAGAACGAGUACUUGCCGGUUAACUCUAUUCCUCUGGAUCAAAUUAUGCAGUAUUAGAUCCUGGUAGAGUUAUGAAACUAACACUGAUAAUACAAUGGAAAAAGGUGGAGACUUCAUGAUAUUAAAAGACAACACUAAACAUGAUCUUACUGCUUCAUGUGUCAAAGAUUUAUUUGAAAAUACUUCUCAACAGAUAUGAUGUGAGUGCUCGCAGUUGCACUUUUGACUGUGAAGCAUUACGUGCGUCAUUGUAUAUGUGUGUGUACGCCUACGUGUGUGCAUGGGUACAUGCAUAUAAUUGUGUGUUUCUGAUCUAUACGGUGCAGACUACUGAGCUUUCUUGCCACCCCAGCUAACUCUUAACUCCUGUCAAAACAUGGAGCUUUAAAUUGAAUUAAGACUCCAUGCUGCAGUCCCUGCUGAGCCCCCCAACCAAUGCCUUUAACACCCUACACUGCUCUGGAACACACACACACACACACAUGCAUUAACACACAUUCCCAGACCUUUUACAUGCAAGUACAUAUGUAUAAAGGUGAACUAACACUAACACCAAUCUCAAAAUGUACACAUACGCAUUCGCAUAAAUUAAUGACAACCAAUGAAACUAAGCACAGUUUUUAAAAUCAGCCAUAACACAGUGAACACACACACAUGCAGGUACUACCAGAGAAUAUUUUAAGUAGGAAGAGGCCAGCUCAGCCUUGACACUCUGUCGCUGUUAAUUCACUGCAGCUGAAACAGAGACAAAGAUACCUUUUCAGUGUCUAUAAUGCUGACCAACUACAGUCUAAGAAUUUUCACUGCCCUGUUUAAAGAGUUUUUAAAUUAUGUUUGGGUGGUUAGUUGAACUAAAAUGUGUGUACUGAUGGUCUAUCCAGCAGGUUCAGCAGUCUGUGCUGUCACUAGCAGGGUCAGCUAGAACUGAUAAGUGACAAGGUUGUUAUCUUCAUUUUCAAUUUACAUUUGUUUUGGCAUGAAGGAAUCUUCUUGUCAUAAGGAUAUUUGAAAUACACACAGGCUGUGUUACUACGUGAACCUGUAAUGGGUACAAGUUACUGAUUUUUACUAUAUAUUAUCAUUAUGUUGUCAUAUUAGCAUUGAUAUUUGCCACUGCUGUUAUAUGGCAAAUUCAUCUCCAAAAACCAUGUAUUCGGGAAUAACAGCAAAAAGUGUUACUGUCAAACAAAAGUCACGGUGCAUUUUAUUUUAAUUACAGAAUAUAUUCUGUAAGUGCUAGAUACAGAAAACCUACACACAGAUAUCAAAAGACCAUUGCGAAUAUUCAGUUACCUACAAUAAAUGAAAAACACCAAAAAUGUGAGUCCUGUGGUGUUUAAAAACAACAGAUAUAUUAGCCAAUAAUUCGGCACACACUAAGAUGGUUUGUCUGUGUCUGUGCUUUGUCCACUGCAGUUUAGUUUCUGUUGCAUAAGUGUCAAUGUUCUGUGUUUUAUCCAAAGAUUACUCUCCAAUUUGUUCUGUGUGUUGUUGGCAGUUCAAGUUGCUCUAUUAGAAAACAUGUUAAAGCAAUAUUGUCUAAGUGAGAGGGUCAUUAAUCAUCAGGUUGACACAAGCUCUGGACAUUGUUGAUGAGUAAUGAGUGUGUUGCUAACCUUUAAUACAUUUGGGCUGCUGUUAGUCAGGUGUAUAAUUAGUACACUGAUGAUGGUACAAAAAUAAUCUGUAUGCCAUCAAUUCUGGUGAUUAUGUGACAUUCCUCGACUGAGAGGCGCUAUAAAAGGCAGGAGUUUUGUUUCAUUUUUAAAGUUUGAAUAUUGUCUGCUCCCACAUGUUCAGAGCUUUGUAAUUGCAACCAGGAAAAUAUUAAAUCAUUCAUUGAUA